UUGGCAUUUGCCGAUCUGCCACGACGCUCCAAACUUCUCAUUCACCGGCUUUCCAAAAAGCAAUGUUAUUUUUGAAGAAAGAAGCAAUAUUUUGAAAAUAUUGUAUUUUUCAUCGAUCUUCCUUUUUUUUUUGCUCAAGCUAGAUAAGAACUCUGGGUAUGACAUUUAAAAGCAUUUUGAGUUACACGGCACUAUCGAGAAUUACGAGAAUGGCAAAAGAAAUAUUUUUGUUUUCGUCGUGAAAUCGAAUUACCGUGCGCAUACCCAGUUUUUUGGACGACUUCUGUCAACUGUAAUGAUAAGUUCUGCUGUUUCCAGUCUGAGUUUGGAUACCAAUGGACAGAGGGAAAAUCAGACAGUACUGAUCAAUGAUCCACAGCAACCAUCGCACUAACAUAGAAAUUUUGUGACAACCGAAUGUACAAUAUGUUGCAGAGAAAAGUGUCAAUUUUCCCUAUGCUUUGUUUGACUUUAAGUGCUCCAGCUGUCCAUCAGGUCAAUGAAAUUCCCAUUCGAACAUCACUGAUACCUCAAAAAGUACGUAUGUAGAUAAAACUCUUUGGCAAGAAACUUUGCUAAUACGAACGGAGUCAGCGAAUAUAAUCUUUGCAGAAACAGCAUUCAGCUAUUCAUUAGUUGAAAUACCAUCAUAGCUGUUGAACCUUGAUCGUAAAUGUUGUGAUUUUCUUUAUGCUGUGCCCAUUGGCUUUCAUUACAGUCUACUAUAACAGUAAUCUUACUUGUGACAAACGUUUAUAUUCCUGUAGCCAAUGUAACAGACAUCUAAAAGUGGGAUUUUUCAACUACAGAAAGGAAAACCAACGACAAACAUCAAUCGUUGUAGCCAAUGGGGUAGCAAGAAUGAAGGAUGGAGAAUUUGACAAAA
This is a long non-coding RNA of Daphnia magna, 886 nucleotides long. RefSeq lists it as uncharacterized. The transcript has 2 exons. The record is from RefSeq and is a predicted model, not a curated record. Lineage: Eukaryota; Metazoa; Arthropoda; Branchiopoda; Diplostraca; Daphniidae.